AUCUAUUUUUUACUCGAUUACCCUCAGCCAUGUUUUCCAUUGGGCAAACCCCUCACUUGCCACUAUAUAACCGCGGACCAAAUGACACUCGAGUUACUUGAGAGUUCAUUUUCCACGCGUUACAACGGGCUAGUGUGGGAGACGUCCGCAGCUAUUCUUCUUUAAUUGGCAGAGUGAGUGAAAAAUCCUGAAAGGGCACGGCUUCACCGGGAGGGUAACUACUGGGGAGUUCUGUCCUGCGGCCCGAAUUAAUGCCUGGGUACGCGAAGGUUGCAAC
Long non-coding RNA from Cloeon dipterum, 277 nucleotides. RefSeq lists it as uncharacterized. The transcript is spliced from 2 exons. NCBI's taxonomy places the organism in Eukaryota, Metazoa, Arthropoda, Insecta, Ephemeroptera, Baetidae. The record is from RefSeq and is a predicted model, not a curated record.